AUUGAACGCUGGCGGCAGGCCUAACACAUGCAAGUCGAACGGUAACAGGAAACAGCUUGCUGUUUCGCUGACGAGUGGCGGACGGGUGAGUAAUGUCUGGGAAACUGCCUGAUGGAGGGGGAUAACUACUGGAAACGGUAGCUAAUACCGCAUAACGUCGCAAGACCAAAGAGGGGGACCUUCGGGCCUCUUGCCAUCGGAUGUGCCCAGAUGGGAUUAGCUAGUAGGUGGGGUAACGGCUCACCUAGGCGACGAUCCCUAGCUGGUCUGAGAGGAUGACCAGCCACACUGGAACUGAGACACGGUCCAGACUCCUACGGGAGGCAGCAGUGGGGAAUAUUGCACAAUGGGCGCAAGCCUGAUGCAGCCAUGCCGCGUGUAUGAAGAAGGCCUUCGGGUUGUAAAGUACUUUCAGCGGGGAGGAAGGGGGUAAAGUUAAUACCUUUGCUCAUUGACGUUACCCGCAGAAGAAGCUCCGGCUAAGUCCGUG
This 490-nucleotide ribosomal RNA is filed under the name uncultured bacterium. RNAcentral's name for it is "partial 16S ribosomal RNA". It matches the Rfam family "Bacterial small subunit ribosomal RNA", at positions 30 to 507 of the family's 1533-position model. The record is from RNAcentral.